This 253-nucleotide ribosomal RNA is filed under the name uncultured bacterium. RNAcentral's name for it is "partial 16S ribosomal RNA". It matches the Rfam family "Bacterial small subunit ribosomal RNA", at positions 524 to 776 of the family's 1533-position model. The record is from RNAcentral.
UACGAAGGGGGCUAGCGUUGUUCGGAUUUACUGGGCGUAAAGCGCACGUAGGCGGCUCGAUCAGUCAGGGGUGAAAUCCCAGGGCUCAACCCUGGAACUGCCUUUGAUACUGUCGAUCUGGAGUAUGGAAGAGGUGAGUGGAAUUCCGGGUGUAGAGGUGAAAUUCGUAGAUAUCUGGAGGAAUACCGGUGGCGAAGGCGGCAGCCUGGGCCGACAUUGACGCUGAGGAGCGAAAGCCAGGGGAGCAAACGGG